GCACCUGAUUGAUUUUGGUCGCCAACGAGUGGCGGACGGGUGAGUAACACGUAGGUAACCUGCCCAGAAGCGGGGGACAACAUUUGGAAACAGAUGCUAAUACCGCAUAACAGCGUUGUUCGCAUGAACAACGCUUAAAAGAUGGCUUCUCGCUAUCACUUCUGGAUGGACCUGCGGUGCAUUAGCUUGUUGGUGGGGUAACGGCCUACCAAGGCGAUGAUGCAUAGCCGAGUUGAGAGACUGAUCGGCCACAAUGGGACUGAGACACGGCCCAUACUCCUACGGGAGGCAGCAGUAGGGAAUCUUCCACAAUGGGCGCAAGCCUGAUGGAGCAACACCGCGUGAGUGAAGAAGGGUUUCGGCUCGUAAAGCUCUGUUGUUAAAGAAGAACACGUAUGAGAGUAACUGUUCAUACGUUGACGGUAUUUAACCAGAAAGUCACGGCUAACUACGUGCCAGCAGCCGCGGUAAUACGUAGGUGGCAAGCGUUAUCCGGAUUUAUUGGGCGUAAAGAGAGUGCAGGCGGUUUUCUAAGUCUGAUGUGAAAGCCUUCGGCUUAACCGGAGAAGUGCAUCGGAAACUGGAUAACUUGAGUGCAGAAGAGGGUAGUGGAACUCCAUGUGUAGCGGUGGAAUGCGUAGAUAUAUGGAAGAACACCAGUGGCGAAGGCGGCUACCUGGUCUGCAACUGACGCUGAGACUCGAAAGCAUGGGUAGCGAACAGGAUUAGAUACCCUGGUAGUCCAUGCCGUAAACGAUGAGUGCUAGGUGUUGGAGGGUUUCCGCCCUUCAGUGCCGGAGCUAACGCAUUAAGCACUCCGCCUGGGGAGUACGACCGCAAGGUUGAAACUCAAAGGAAUUGACGGGGGCCCGCACAAGCGGUGGAGCAUGUGGUUUAAUUCGAAGCUACGCGAAGAACCUUACCAGGUCUUGACAUCUUGCGCCAACCCUAGAGAUAGGGCGUUUCCUUCGGGAACGCAAUGACAGGUGGUGCAUGGUCGUCGUCAGCUCGUGUCGUGAGAUGUUGGGUUAAGUCCCGCAACGAGCGCAACCCUUGUUACUAGUUGCCAGCAUUAAGUUGGGCACUCUAGUGAGACUGCCGGUGACAAACCGGAGGAAGGUGGGGACGACGUCAGAUCAUCAUGCCCCUUAUGACCUGGGCUACACACGUGCUACAAUGGACGGUACAACGAGUCGCGAACUCGCGAGGGCAAGCAAAUCUCUUAAAACCGUUCUCAGUUCGGACUGCAGGCUGCAACUCGCCUGCACGAAGUCGGAAUCGCUAGUAAUCGCGGAUCAGCAUGCCGCGGUGAAUACGUUCCCGGGCCUUGUACACACCGCCCGUCACACCAUGAGAGUUUGUAACA
RNAcentral lists this ribosomal RNA (1366 nucleotides) under Limosilactobacillus fermentum. Its description in RNAcentral is "bacterial SSU rRNA". It matches the Rfam family "Bacterial small subunit ribosomal RNA", at positions 64 to 1419 of the family's 1533-position model. Lineage: Bacteria; Bacillati; Bacillota; Bacilli; Lactobacillales; Lactobacillaceae. The record is from RNAcentral.